AAUUUGGGAGCUGGACUUCAAAAUUAUCAUAUACUAGCCAAUAAACGAGCACGCGGGCUUUGCUAACGUGGAGUAUUGACCUUUGCUGAUUACUUAUAUCACUGUAUUUCAAACCAGCACGUUAAAGAUGGAAAUGGUUUCAUUGCACUUUGGUGUCAAGGACGAUGGUUCAGCGACAAACGUCCCUCUACAUUCUGAGGACGAAGACAGCUUCAUAAGGGCCAGGCUUCAGGUCUGCGGUCCUGGGGGAUCCUAAUAGAAACUGCGCUUCUCUGCAGCAGGUCCAACCUCGCCCGCUCUCCGCCAACUCAAACUACUUAGGAUCUGUACCGCUCCGAGUCCCAACAACGAAACACGAACAGGCGGAGCCACUCCAUCCGGGUGCUUUGUCAGAAGGACGUAACGGCGUGGCCUAUGACGUACGGAG
Molecule: long non-coding RNA, 427 nt
Organism: Octodon degus (degu)
Lineage: Eukaryota; Metazoa; Chordata; Mammalia; Rodentia; Octodontidae
Exons: 2
Source: RefSeq, a predicted model, not a curated record